UCCCUUUCAAAAGUCCACAAAAUGAACAUUCCACAGGUAUAUCGGGGUAUUUUAUGGAUAUUAUGGGUGAUUUUGCAAGUAUGCUUCAGUGACCUAUAUAGCUCAGUGUGCAAGCAGUUUCAAAAUGGCGGUUGCUUUGAUUGUUUUUGAGUGGGCAUAUAAUAUUUUUUGUACUGUGUUUGUACUGUUGUUCUGUGUUUUUCAUGUUGUGUUGUGCUCUACACUUCCUCUUCGAUCAUGAAUUAACGUAUUUUUGUUGGUGCAACAACAACGAAAGAACGAACCAGGUUGAAUUUAUAGGACUAUUGAGUAUUGGGUCACCAAGACCGUUGAAAGCUUUAUUAAAAUUG
Paramuricea clavata is the source of this 350-nucleotide non-coding RNA. The record is from the annotation of a GenBank genome assembly. Lineage: Eukaryota; Metazoa; Cnidaria; Anthozoa; Malacalcyonacea; Plexauridae.